GAUCCUGGCUCAGGAUGAACGCUAGCUACAGGCUUAACACAUGCAAGUCGAGGGGCAGCAUGGUCUUAGCUUGCUAAGGCCGAUGGCGACCGGCGCACGGGUGAGUAACGCGUAUCCAACCUGCCUUACACUCUUGGACAGCCUUCUGAAAGGGAGAUUAAUACAAGAUGUUAUCGUUAGUAAGCAUUUUCGCAUGAUUAAAGGUUUACCGGUGUAAGAUGGGGAUGCGUUCCAUUAG
This 238-nucleotide ribosomal RNA is filed under the name uncultured bacterium. RNAcentral's name for it is "partial 16S ribosomal RNA". It matches the Rfam family "Bacterial small subunit ribosomal RNA", at positions 15 to 244 of the family's 1533-position model. The record is from RNAcentral.